AAAAAGAUAAGCUAACUAAAGCUAUUAGGUUCAUACCCUAAAUAUAGGGUUGAUAUUCUUCUUUUUA
RNAcentral lists this transfer RNA (67 nucleotides) under Nesophrosyne kanawao. RNAcentral's name for it is "tRNA-Met". The record is from RNAcentral. Lineage: Eukaryota; Metazoa; Arthropoda; Insecta; Hemiptera; Cicadellidae. RNAcentral also lists the same sequence under 1 other name.